UAAUUUUCUUUUUCUUAAGGUAACAACUACUUUGAAUCAAUACAGCUUGCUCAAAAAACAGUUUGAAAUGGCAUUUUCUCUCUGCUGGCUAAAAUCAUCAGUUAUGUUGCUCUUCCAUAAAUUUCAUUUGGUGUUUGACGUUCAUAUAAAAUAUCCAGGGAGUUAGGAUUUAGGCAUUACUUUACAUGCUAUCCGAAUCAUGAAUUUGUUAUACUAUCCCAAACAAUUGCAUUGGUUUAUGGCUGCUUGCCUAUUGUUGAAAUUAGAUCAAUUGUAAAAAUAUGAAUAUUGAGAUUCUACAUAAAGAGAAAUCUUUGGUCCUCGAUAUACGGCUGCUUGUACGUCGAUACAAAAGGACUACUAGAGAUGUUUGGUUUUGUCUGUAAAAAGCUCAUACCUUUAACAAGAAAUUCGGCCCUCUUUAAAUCUUUGUUACAUUGUUUUUAUUUCCUUCUCUUAGAUGAAAUUUCAUGGUUUACUUAAAACACAGCUAUGUAAUCUAGUAAGUAUUCGCACCACUUCGAAUACGAUAGCUAAUAUUGAAGAUGUUUACAAUUUAAGGGAGGAACGUGGUUUAAUCGUAUGCGUGUUUUACCACCAUUCUGGGGCAUUUUCUCCGUUGAAGUAUUGGUCUUGGCCAUAUAGUAAUGGCGACUCAACAAUAGAAUGACGAAGAUGUUUAGGAUCAUCCGGGUCAUAAUCUAACUGUGAUUCGCAGGUAGUGCUUGCUCCAUUCCAUGCCAUCAUGUCUGCAGUUGUCUGUCCUGGUACAGCUUUUAUAGCGAGUCCACGAGAUGUCAUUUCAUUUUGAAAUCUCUGGUACCAACCUGGAAGCGAAGGAAGAAUCCCAUUAAAAACAAUUAACUUCGACAUAAUCCUUCUAAUGUCAAUUGGAAGAAUACGGUACAGAGAUAGUAAAACGUUAGGAAGGGCUUGGUCUGCUAUGUCCGACCCUCCAGCAUCAGAACCCUCAAAGAGAGCCUCAAUGCCUGCAUUGGCGAUCCAAGAUGGAACUCUAAUUUUUUCAGCGUCAUUAAAGCUUGAGCCCCGUUCAGUUUUAUUUGUUUGACAAGUUGUUUCAGCUAAGGGUAAGAUAUCCGAAUACCGAAAGUAAGCUUCUUGAUCUGUUAAUUGAUAGAGCUCUUCAGUCGGUUUGCUUGGUACUCUUGAUUUUAAAAGAGACUUCAUUAAUGCUUCCGUUACGGCAAACUCCUCAUCUUCCAAUAGCUUUUGAGAAUUUUUCUUGUUGUUCAGUUUAAAACAGUCAGCCAUACGUUCCAAAACCGUACUUAAGCUUCUUUUUGAAGUUUUUGUAUAAUGCAUUAAGAUACAAAGGUCUAAAAUUACGAUGAACUUUGUUUCUUUCAUCCCGAUAUCCACAAUUAUUGCAUCUCUUGUUGAUGUGCUUAGGAUCGCUGUUAAUGGUGCACAUAUCCACAACGUGAUUGGAACGUUUAAAGUGUUGAAUAAUCCAUCACAAAGCUCUUUUUUCUGUUUCCUUGUAACAAAAAUGUCCAAUACUAAUACAACGCGUACUAUUUCAGCUAGACAGUUAAAUGUGUUCAAGCAGUAUCUUUGAAUUAUAGUUGUCACAAUGGAUAUAGGGACCCAGCUUUGUUUAUAAGGAACAAGAUCUACUUUCCAAGUUGGCUCUUUAUCGCUAGCAUUUCCGAUGUAAAUUCCAAAUUCGUCAAUUUGCACCACUACGGUGCUAAUAUCGCAAUUUUUUCGCAUCAAAAUAAUUACUCGGAAUUCAAUUUAGUAGCAGUGAUGUUAAAAAAACUCUUGUCGCUAUUUGUUUGGUUUGGCAAAAGAAAUGUAAGGGUUUGAUAUUUAUUCAAUAAUUGUACUUUGACAAUUUUUAAACAAAUUGUUUUACUGAAUAAAAAGUGGAUGGCUUUUUAUUUACAAAGAAUACAUGUAUUACGGAAAUGCACUCAAAACAUUCGUGUGUUUACAAAACAAGUACGGCUAAUCAAACGCAUUCCGUACACUUAAAUUAACUCAAACUUUAUAUGUAUAAACAAAAUAAUAUGAAUUAAAUACACAUUUACUUAUAAUGCAACUUACAAAGAAUAUGAUAAGAGAAAUACGAAUAAUUGCUAUGUUACGU
Schizosaccharomyces pombe (fission yeast) is the source of this 2113-nucleotide non-coding RNA. The record is from the annotation of a GenBank genome assembly. Lineage: Eukaryota; Fungi; Ascomycota; Schizosaccharomycetes; Schizosaccharomycetales; Schizosaccharomycetaceae.